GCCGGGCGUGGUGGCGGGCGCCUGUAAUCCCAGGUACUUGGGAGGCUGAGGCAGGAGAAUCGCUUGAACCCGGGAGGCUGAGGUUGCAGUGAGCUGAGAUUGUGCCACGGCACUCCAGCCUGGGCGACAGAGCCAGACUCUGUCUCAA
Pongo abelii (Sumatran orangutan) is the source of this 148-nucleotide unclassified non-coding RNA. It matches the Rfam family "Metazoan signal recognition particle RNA". From Rfam's summary of the family: The signal recognition particle (SRP) is a universally conserved ribonucleoprotein. It is involved in the co-translational targeting of proteins to membranes. NCBI's taxonomy places the organism in Eukaryota, Metazoa, Chordata, Mammalia, Primates, Hominidae. The record is from Ensembl.